GAUUUUCUCCCGUUCUUCGAUGCAGCAUCCGAGCAGCCUGACCAGAUUCUUGUGCUGAAGCUUUGCAACCAAGACUACCUCAUUCUUCAUCUCCAAUUGCCCUUGAUGGGAAUGUACCCUGAACUCAACAGCAUCAGAAUCGACUGGGCCAAAUCCACCUUCUCCGAGCUUAUUUUCUUCUGA
This 183-nucleotide long non-coding RNA is filed under the name Oryza sativa Indica Group (long-grained rice). Its description in RNAcentral is "lncRNA OsMH63_05G021870". Lineage: Eukaryota; Viridiplantae; Streptophyta; Magnoliopsida; Poales; Poaceae. The record is from RNAcentral.